Long non-coding RNA from Oreochromis aureus, 375 nucleotides. NCBI's taxonomy places the organism in Eukaryota, Metazoa, Chordata, Actinopteri, Cichliformes, Cichlidae. The record is from Ensembl.
GAGCGACCUGUGCGUCAGAUGUGUGUAACCCAGGAAAAGGAGUCUUGUAGCUGUUACGAACGUGAAGCUGAGCUGAAUCCGACAGCCAUUCGCCAUUACAUGAACCCCUCUGGCUGGUUUGUUUGCCCUUUUGGUGCCCUGGAUCCUACUGGAUGAACUGCCUUGUGGAAGUCCUCAUCUGAUGACUCUGCUGGACCGUCCUGGCUAGUAGAUGGUCAUUACUACGGGUGGAUGCUUCUGCUUGCUGGAUGGUAUUAUUGGACACUACGCCAUUCCAACAGAGUGGUAGGAACAAUUCAAAGGGCCCCAACGAUGCACUUUACUUUUCCCUGAGCUCAGGUGGUUUUCUUUUGGCCAAAGGACCUUGAAGGAUAC